AAUAAAAAAAAACACAUGAUUGUCAUCCUAUUGUGAUUUGUUAUUUCCUUUUUUCUCAUUUUCCCUCAGAUGAGCCUCUAGUGGAACAUUUGACUAAAGACUGUACAAUAUUUGGUCUGUUUGAAGCUGUGGUGAACUCAACCUUCACACAUUCUGCCCCUGUACCACAUCCUGAAGCCACACAGAUCAUGUGGGGGAUCAAUGAAGGAGAUCAGGUAGUUCCUAUAACCCGCUGCCCUUCACUCUGCACCUCCAGCAGAACCCGGAGACCCCUGUGUGAGAGAGUUCAGACAGUAGAAGAUGCUGCAUCAGGGAAAUCAUCACUGACUAUCAGUCCUGUGGAGAUCACAGACAGUUCAUGGUUAUCAUUCAUUGUGAAUGCUUCUUCAUGCUACACAUUUAAGCUUAACGUCAAAGGUUUUUCACAUCCAACACCCAGCCCUCAAACACUGCCGACCCAGCCAACAAACACUGAGGAGACUAAAGUAUUUCACUUGACUGUGUUUUUUACCCUGGCUUCACUUGGCUUUGUGUGCACCUUACUGACCCUCAUUGCAUGUACAUUAGUGUGCCGGAAAAAAAGAGAAGAAAGAGGCAUGCAACACGUUCUGUAUGAAAAUGUGGCCAUGUGAGCUGGUAAGUUGUGCUAUUAUUAUUAUUUUAUAGCAUAGUGCAGUUUAAUGUAAUAUAAUAUAAUUCUGUCAGAAUACCUUGCUUAGAGACUUAUAUAAUGUAAUAACAAUAAAAUUUUUCUCCCUACAGUUCUGAUCCA
Molecule: long non-coding RNA, 772 nt
Filed under: Astyanax mexicanus (Mexican tetra)
Lineage: Eukaryota; Metazoa; Chordata; Actinopteri; Characiformes; Acestrorhamphidae
Description: lncRNA (ENSAMXG00005010409.1)
Source: RNAcentral